RNAcentral lists this long non-coding RNA (260 nucleotides) under Gossypium raimondii (Peruvian cotton). RNAcentral describes it as "long non-coding RNA (GRAI_LNC001993)". Lineage: Eukaryota; Viridiplantae; Streptophyta; Magnoliopsida; Malvales; Malvaceae. The record is from RNAcentral.
UGGGCUGAAAGAAACAAAUUUGGUUGGAGUGUGGCGUAAAGAAAAAUGAUGAUAGUAGAACAGAAUUGAUGAUCGAGAAUACAAGAAAAAUGAAUACAGACUUUCAAUUUGUUUUUUUAAAAUUUUUAAUUUCUUUUUUUUAAUCACAAAGUGCUAAAUACAAAUGGAAUACUUUGAUCCACAAUUUUUUUUUGAUUUUUGUACAUACCUAAUUCGGGAAGGAUCUGAACAUUCGUACUUCUCAUUUUAAGGUGGCUCUG